AGAGUUUGAUCCUGGCUCAGAUUGAACGCUGGCGGCAUGCCUUACACAUGCAAGUCGAACGGCAGCACGGGGCAACCUGGUGGCGAGUGGCGAACGGGUGAGUUAUAUAUCGGAACGUACCCAAGAGUGGGGGAUAACGUAGCGAAAGUUACGCUAAUACCGCAUACGAUCCAAGGAUGAAAGCAGGGGACCGCAAGGCCUUGUGCUCCUGGAGCGGCCGAUAUCUGAUUAGCUAGUUGGUAGGGUAAAAGCCUACCAAGGCAUCGAUCAGUAGCUGGUCUGAGAGGACGACCAGCCACACUGGAACUGAGACACGGUCCAGACUCCUACGGGAGGCAGCAGUGGGGAAUUUUGGACAAUGGGCGCAAGCCUGAUCCAGCAAUGCCGCGUGAGUGAAGAAGGCCUUCGGGUUGUAAAGCUCUUUUGUCAGGGAAGAAAAGGUUACGGCUAAUAUCCGUGGCUCAUGACGGUACCUGAAGAAUAAGCACCGGCUAACUACGUGCCAGCAGCCGCGGUAAUACGUAGGGUGCAAGCGUUAAUCGGAAUUACUGGGCGUAAAGCGUGCGCAGGCGGUUUUGUAAGUCUGUUGUGAAAUCCCCGGGCUCAACCUGGGAAUGGCAAUGGAGACUGCAAGGCUAGAGUUUGGCAGAGGGGGGUAGAAUUCCACGUGUAGCAGUGAAAUGCGUAGAUAUGUGGAGGAACACCGAUGGCGAAGGCAGCCCCCUGGGUCAAAACUGACGCUCAUGCACGAAAGCGUGGGGAGCAAACAGGAUUAGAUACCCUGGUAGUCCACGCCCUAAACGAUGUCUACUAGUUGUCGGGCCUUAAUUGACUUGGUAACGCAGCUAACGCGUGAAGUAGACCGCCUGGGGAGUACGGUCGCAAGAUUAAAACUCAAAGGAAUUGACGGGGACCCGCACAAGCGGUGGAUGAUGUGGAUUAAUUCGAUGCAACGCGAAAAACCUUACCUACCCUUGACAUGGAUGGAAUUCCGGANNGAUUUGGAAGUGCCCGAAAGGGAACCAUUACACAGGUGCUGCAUGGCUGUCGUCAGCUCGUGUCGUGAGAUGUUGGGUUAAGUCCCGCAACGAGCGCACCCUUGUCAUUAGUUGCUACGAAAGAGCACUCUAAUGAGACUGCCGGUGACAAACCGGAGGAAGGUGGGGAUGACGUCAAGUCCUCAUGGCCCUUAUGGGUAGGGCUUCACACGUCAUACAAUGGU
This 1222-nucleotide ribosomal RNA is filed under the name uncultured bacterium. RNAcentral describes it as "partial 16S rRNA". It matches the Rfam family "Bacterial small subunit ribosomal RNA", at positions 8 to 1234 of the family's 1533-position model. The record is from RNAcentral.